Long non-coding RNA from Eupeodes corollae, 401 nucleotides. RefSeq lists it as uncharacterized. The record is from RefSeq and is a predicted model, not a curated record. NCBI's taxonomy places the organism in Eukaryota, Metazoa, Arthropoda, Insecta, Diptera, Syrphidae. The transcript is spliced from 2 exons.
CACAUUCAAUCAGCUCAUCUAUAGAUUGGGCAAUUGUACAAAAAUUGUUCGGCAAAGUGAUCAAUCCCGUUGAAUUUCUCGGAGAAGCAGAUUGGAGUUUCAAUCACCCAUACUUUCAAUGGCAAUUUUAAUGCAGAGUAUGCGGUCCGACCACCUUCUUAUAAUGUAGCAGCAAUUCCCGAAGAUGCAAGUGCCAAUUCAAUUUUCCGAUCCGAUCGAAUAGUCGCUAAAUUCAAUAAUACAACGAAAGUUUUGCCUGUACCACCAGGUGCAUCCAAGAAAUAUAAUGAACCUGUAUUAUUGGAAACGGCUUGCAUGAUUGUGUCAUUCAGAUGUUUUUGUUGAAUAUUCAAUUUGGUUAUAUUCGAUUGUACAAAUAAACGUAAAUUAUUAAAAUUGAA